AAAAAGAACUAAGCACCUAUCAAUAAAUUAGCUCUAAAAGCAGUUUCCUUCCAGAAAUUUCAUGUGGCUUCCAUUACACCCGACUGAGCCAUCACAAAUUUCCAGCUUUUUGCUGAAAGAAGCCAAUCAGGUUCAAGAAGUUCAUGCAUUAAUCUCAUUAAAUGCAGCAACAUUCAGGAUUAUAUAACCUGCAUCAUUAAAAAUAGCAGAAGUACUAUAGUAAGUUCUAGAAUUAAAAACCCAAAAAGAGUAAUAACCUUUAAAAAAGCUCAAAAAUGUCUCGUGGAAAAACUAAAAAGCUACUUUUAAGGUUAAUUUUAGUUCUUUAGUCCUUUUUUUCACUCUUCAAAAGGUAGCCG
Molecule: long non-coding RNA, 359 nt
Filed under: Olea europaea (common olive)
Lineage: Eukaryota; Viridiplantae; Streptophyta; Magnoliopsida; Lamiales; Oleaceae
Description: long non-coding RNA (OEUR_LNC013779)
Source: RNAcentral